Malus domestica (apple) is the source of this 4129-nucleotide RNA transcript. RefSeq lists it as uncharacterized. NCBI's taxonomy places the organism in Eukaryota, Viridiplantae, Streptophyta, Magnoliopsida, Rosales, Rosaceae. The record is from RefSeq and is a predicted model, not a curated record.
UGUAUACAGAAACCCUAUUAAUCAUUUACGUUCAGCUCAAACAUGCAGUAGCUCCUUAACUUGUCGUACAAUAUUCAUAUUAAAAGUUCAGCAGUCGGAGUAGCGUGCAUUCACAGAAUCACAGUAAAUGUGGAUUAGUUCAUUGUAAUGUUUGUUAUAGAAAGACAUUAGAGAAUCAGUAUGUUGGUGUUGGCAACGUCACUAGUAAUCGAGGGGGCAAUCGUUAGCCUCGCCUCCUUUGGUUCUGCUCCUAAAUUAAGCUCAAAGAUCCGAGUGUAAGUGCAUAACAACCACCCCUUUGUUAUAACAUUUUGUCACACACGUAAAUAUUCCAACACUUCACACACUCCCCGCGGAUGCAGUUUCAUUUUUGUACCUUCUUACAAAUUACUGUACUACUUGGGAUGAAGAGUAGGGAACGGUUGACAGACUCGAAUAUCAAGAUUCUAUACAUAGUACCCGUUUCAUCUUCUGGUAAUCGUUCAUCCGAAAGCUGAAAGUUAGAGUAGGUUUGGGGGAAGACAUAAUGUGGGCACUUGUCAACCACAUAUAUGUAAUGUAGGUGUAUAUAUGCCUCAAGAGAGGAGAUCUUAGCCUUCUGCAGUUGAGAGAAGUCAGUUUCAUCUGAGGAGGAUACACCAAAGUUGCCGCGGCAUCCCUUGUUCCUUCCUAGCUCUAUUAGUCUCAUAUCUGUUAAACUUUUUUCCGAUGUACGGUGGGUACCCAUACUAUUGACAGCCUUCUCAUUUCAGCUUCACCGCACGCAAAUAUUGCACAGAUAUGUCAUGCCGAUGUAUCUCUUAACUGAGAUCCGGGGCUACAGAUCAUCCAUCAGCAAAUGCAUGCAUUUGUCCAACAAAUUUUGCUAUGCAAUACGCAAGGGCCACCAGUGGACAUCGAAUGGAACCUUACGAUCGAUGACAAGUUUGAAGAUGAAACGUGAUGGGCAUGCGCUUCAUCAUACGCAGAACGGAUGGAGGAGAAUAUAUAUCAAACGCGCUAGCAGCUUGUCGCCUGUAUAUUCAUGGAUGUGGGAUGGAUGAAAUUUUUGUGGUUGGUCAGGAUUCAGGUACCAAAAGAAAGAAAAAAUCGUAACGCAAAUGCGAAUGCCUGAGCAAGCAUGCGAUCAACAGGCUACAGAUAUUACAAGCUGAGACAUAACUGCAAACUUAAAACAACAAAACAAACAAGAACUCCUGAUGCAAACAUACAAGUAAAUUUAAAGCUCUGCUCUCACAAGUCAGAACAGUCACAACCAUAGAUUUCUCAGAUCGAUUUCUCUCUACCUAUCCAAGUGAUGGCAUGUCAAUGGCAUGCAUUAUUCAGUAUUAUUUGGUUGUAAUCUUAUGCAGAAAUGUGGUUUCCAAUCAAUAUUGUGCAGAAAUCUGCAGAUGCAUGCUCUUUCCCUUGCAUGUAUGUCCUUCAAAAUCUAAAUUUCUUUUUCUCCAAUGGAUCCGUGGAGACAUUCUUCCGUGCUGACAACCGGACCGCAUGGUCAUCCAACAGCACGCAUAAAACACCUCACUUCCCAUAUUUUGGUCUCGCCCGCCCUCCGGUCCACGCCCUUGUGCCGGGUGGCCACAUACGCCGUUCGGACUGAAGAAUUUCUCCACUUGAGGAGGCUAGGACAAGUUAGGCUGAACCCAUUUCUGGGUGCCCCUAUAUGGUCAACCAACCCUCGGUCUGUCUUCUCGUUUAUUUUAUUUUUCCAGGAUAAGGAAAGAAAAAAAAAAGAAGCCCCAAAUAAGGAAAAAAAAGAGGAAAAUAACUACAAGUAGUGCCUCUUCGACCUUCUUCUUCUACUUCGUCUCCUUCUCUCUCUCUCUCUCCGUUUCUCUCUCUCUCCCUCUCUCUCUCCGUUUCUCUCUCUCUCUCUCUCUCUCAAAGUCGACUCACAAGGAAACAAUCUCAGUCCAUUCAAAUUUCUCUUCCAAUUUCCAUCUGUAACAUUCUUCAGAUUUCCCAGAAACAGAAAUGGUUCUUGCACAACUGUUCUGUAGACAUCUCUCUCUAUUAAAUUCUUCCGUGCCAUCCAUUUUUCCACAUAUGUUCAUCUCCUUCUCUUGAGCCACACACACACCCUUUCCAUUCCAAAUUCCAAACCCUUUUGAGCUUAAUCACCGUUGUUUUUCCUCUGUAAUUUCCAACCCAAUGUUACACAUUUCUCUCCCUUUUCUUAUUUCGUCUCAUUAAUUUAAUUAAUUAUCGACAACACUCCUUGUACUCUCCUCAACCCCACCUCACCAGCUGUGGCUUAAUUUGCGCUUUAUUUUUCUCAAUCCUCGAUCGUUUCUUUGGCUCAAAGGGUUCUUGGGUUGCUUUGGAUCUAAUUCUUGUUCCAUUAUCCCAUAUUGCUCCAUAAAUUUGAAGUGGGUUUGUUUUGUUUGUGCCUAAUAUUAACAUUUUGAUUGGUCACUCAUGCUUGAAUCUCAGCUGAAAAACCCAGCUCGGGCUGGGACUGGGGUUUCACAAUCUCUGCAGAAACAAGUAGCUCCAAAUGAUAACCCCGGUCAACCAGAAUCGCCCUUCUCCAUAAGACAGUAUGUUCUUGAUUGUCGCCAGAAAGAUGUAUUUUCUAACUGGCCAUUUCCAGAGAAAUACUUGCAAAUUUGUCUCGACCAUGGUAUUAGUGAUGCGUUGCCGCCCUUUGAAUCCCAUACUUCAGCUAUCAAAUCGAUUAGGGGAGCGGUAGGUUUGAAUUGUACUCAACAAGAUGAUAACAAUGCUGUUGACUUUGAAAGCGGAGUACCAGAUAUCAUUGAGGAGACUGAAGAUGGGAGUAAACUAUACUCUGACAAUGAGGAAGCAAUAUCAAAACUUUCAAAUCAGCACUGCCAUUUCUCUCCUUCAAAUAGUAGUCGUGAGCGUGAAGAAAACAAGGCGGACUUUAGUUCCCACAUAUCAUCCAAUAGCAUAGUUUCAACUGAUCAACCUUCAACUACAAUACCAAGUUCACACCUUAAUGUUGUUGAGUGCAAUGAAACUUUGACUUCUUCUAGGAAGCCAAGGCAUAUGAAAAAACGACACAGGGGUAAGCAUAAGAAGAGGUCGAUGGGGAAUAUCUUAGAUGUAGCCAAGCCUUGUACACCGGAGGAUCUCCUUAGAAUUAAAAGAUUGUGCUGUGUUUCAAGCGUACCUCUUGUGAAGGGGGGUGAAGCAAUUGAGAAUUUGAUCGAUGCUAAGCAAGAUUGCAACUCUGAUCUAACCAAGGAUAACUCGAGUGAAAAGCUUGAGAGAGAUGGUAGUGAAGCAGCGAAUCUCAGCAUGCAGUCCAGCAAAAAAUUUGUAGUGAAGUUCACGUUUAGCGGUUGCAAAUCGAAUGUCUGAAACAUAUAUUAAAAAUAUCGCACAUUCUAUGAGCUAACACCGAUAAGCACUCUCAAAGCAUGUAUAUUUUCCGGCUUUCCCCUUGAAAGCUAACACCGAUAAGCAUUCUCAAAUCAUGUUUGUCCUUCAUGGCUUAGAUCUCUGUGCAAGAAAAAGGAUAUCGUCAAAAUUUAUUCUUUUAGUAUAGUUUAGUUAGAAAGUCGAGCACCAUGAACUUCUCAGUUGGGUGUGACGUACGUUGUUUAAAGGAUGCCUGCUCGACGGUGGGGUGCAUCCAGCUGUUUAUCUCAAACCAUAUCCAAGCUAAGGAAAACACAUAUGGCCUCUUGCAUUUCCAGCCAAGAUUCAGAUUUCCUCCGGAGAGCAAGCCACAAAAUAUUGCCGUAUGAUGCCAACUUAUUCAUCGUUGUGUUCCACAGGCUUGAGAUAGCUGAGUGGUCAUGGUCAUCUUUUCAAGUCAUUUUCUUUCCUUGAUGAAUGCCACCGAGCUAAUGCACCUGUUGUGACACGUCAGAAACCUAAACUUGCUCACACGAAAUGUCCUUCUAUGACUCGACUAUAACUCAACAAAGUAGAUGGUUCCAUUGCCCUCAAGCAGUAAACAAUCUUAUUGACGAGACAAUGUUACCGUAGCAGUUUCUUCUUUUAUUUUCUUUUGAGUGGAUUCCCAGAGAAUGUACUUGUACUAGGGUUGCUCACUCUUUGAUUAUAAUUUUUGUGAAGAAUACAACUUAUUGGAUAUUGCUUGCCUAAAAAAUCAUCACCUGUGAAUAAUGUGACGUUGAACUUCUUUUAUUUCUUA